AUGAGCGAGCCAUCACUAUAUUCAUGAGCAGCACAUUUGGGAUGACAUGCUGAUAAACAAGCAAAAUCUAUCACCAAGUCAUCAGGCCAUCACAUAGUAUGGUACGUGAUGUUUUCUAGAAAUUUAGACAAAUCAAUCUAUGAGAAAGUACCAAGUUUCAGCCGAUACAAAUGGCAUUCAUUCAGCUAAUGCAAGAGACAUAAAAGGAUAGUUUUCUGUGCGUUACAAAUUUAGAAGCCAGCUAAAAUACAUUCAUUCAGCUGAUGCAAGAGACAUAAAAGGACAGUUUUCUAUGCGUUACAAAUUUAGAAGCCAGCUAAAAUAUUAUACACUCUGACAAUGGUAGACAUAGAUACAAAGCAAGUCGAGUCCCUCAAGAAGCCUAUGGUUGGUGUAAUCCGUAAGACAUCUGCAAUUAGAUCAAUAAUAAUGGAGUCACUGCUGAAAAUGGUCUAGAAAACUGAUCAGGUAGCUUGCAAGUUAUAUCUGACCAUGUUAAAGACCAGGUAAGUCAAAGAAAGUAUAUAUAUUUUUACAUCUAGAAGCUGCAAAGGUCAGCAACUCAAGUAAAUAUGGGUAAGUAAUUUUGUUAACAAACCACUAAGUGUGCCAUUAUUCCCAAAAUCAAACAUUGCCCAGGACAAGUUACUAGUUAGAAGGAAUACGAUACCUAUGCUACUCCAGAGUCUACCUAGUUACUAGUCAAACUAAAUAAGGUACCUAUACUACAAUGCCCAGGACAAGAUAACAUGGUCCGACAGGACACCAGCGUCGGAAUAUUUUCCUUGGCUUCUGGUGCAAAGCAAGUUGCUCACUGCUGAUAAACUGAUGAUCACGAACUGGCCAUGCAGCCCAAACUUUGCACUAUGUGACCAAAUGCAUAAGAAGAACUAAAGUUGCAGCUGAUGAUGUACACACCUUGGAAUAUUAGGAAAGAAAGAAACCGCAAGACCUUUGAUGGGUGAUCAGCGCAAUCGAACCAGGUCUGUCAAGCAAGGUCCCUUGAUGUUCAUAUAAUUUGUAGCCUGAAAGUUUGUUCAUAGCACUGUCAAAGUUUAUAGAUGUUUCACCAAGGCUCUACAAUAACAAUAACAAAGAAAGUUGAAAGUAGAAAGUGAUCAAAUCUUUAUUAUGAAGAUAACUAAUACCCGAUAAUAUAUAAGCAAUGGUCCAUACUAAUCAUAAUUCUGUCUUAGAAAAAUAUUUCAGAAUUCAAUAAACCUUCUUGCAGUAAUCAGUUGAGAUGCACCAACAGAAUUCAAACUCGAUAUCACCACAAAUAGAUUGCUGCAGUUUAUGCAAAGUACCGCAAUAUAGAAUGGAAAGACAAAUAUAAUUUCCCCAAUCCAGGUGAGGAAUAGUAAGGGUUUUGUACCUCUGAAGCUGCCUAUCCAGCAGAGAUAGACUAGCUUCUUUUCCUUGCAUCCUUGUCUGCUCCAUUCUUAAAUAUGACCCCACAAAUAGAGGCAGCACGGAAAGUUACUAAUAACCACAAUAGUGCUAAGAAGAACUAUUCAGCAGCAGCUAGUAAGAUGUCAAAGUUAACUAAAAUUCAAUUUAGUUAAGAAACAAGGCAUGCAUUUUUUGUUGCAGUAAAGUUAACUAAUUAAUAGGAUUGUGCAGCAUAAAUGUAAACAUUUUUUUUCCGAUUCAAAUAACCUACUAAAAUGACAGCACAAACAAAUGGAUGCUUGACAAGGAGAAUGUGAUAAGCAAAAUGAAAGAGGCAAGAAACAUAUAACUAUACAUUCUUACUGCAAUGUUUGUGUUUAUACAUUCUUACUGCAAUAUUUGUGUUCAUAACAAAUAUGAUGAGUAUAUAUCUGAUUCAUCUGGGACUUGAACCUAUAUAUCUAACUAAAAAAAUUGAAUCAGUGUUGGUGCUCGUGCUGGUUAGUUGAUGUUCCCAGGAUUGGAUCUCAGAUAGAACAAUUGGAAAUUGAGAUGUUAACUAUGAGAACUCAAAUUGCAGGCAUGAGAAGUGCAAACCCUAGGCAAUCUGAUAGAGGAGGAAGCAGGAGGAAGAACUCACAUCAUGGUGGGUGUCGAGGACGAAGACGAGGUCGAGGCGCCAUGGUGGAUGCGGAGGAGGCAGCGGAGGUAGAGGUCCAUGGGUAGAGGCGGCGUUUUAGACGACGGGGAGGGGACAUGGCGACCCGUGGACGCAGAGGCAGAGAGACGGCGGUGCCUGGACGAGGAGUCGAGGCUUGGAGCGACGGUGUCACUUGGACGGGAGGCGGAGGAGGGGCGGCGCUAGGACGGGAGGCGGAGGGGCAGCGACGCCUGGACAAGGAGACCGAUCGGCGUCAGCGUGUCGCACGGGGAGCUGCACAGGAAUGCGGUGUCCGGACCUUCGAGGUGCGGAGGACCUACCUUGGGGAAGUCGUGAGGAACGGGUUGCCUAGCCCCACGGCGUGGGCUUCCAAAUGGCGAGGAGUUUUGGUCCGUGCCUCAGUUUCCAUGCGGGCUGCCUGUCCGGGGAAAAGGCUAGGAUCCUAGCAGGAUUUUAGCGGGAUUUUAUGCUCCCAAACUAGCUCUAAGGGAGAGGGAGCUGAGAACGCAAUCGCCAGUAAUGAUUAGAGCGGCACGGCUCAGGGAAGGCCUGAGCUGCAGAGCAAGGAGGUGAUGUGCGGGGAGCAGAAGAACACACGGAAAAGCCACCGGUCAAAAAAAUGAGAGGAAGGAUAAAAGGAUAUAUGUGUG
Molecule: long non-coding RNA, 2703 nt
Filed under: Setaria italica (foxtail millet)
Lineage: Eukaryota; Viridiplantae; Streptophyta; Magnoliopsida; Poales; Poaceae
Description: long non-coding RNA (SITA_LNC004093)
Source: RNAcentral